This 603-nucleotide long non-coding RNA is filed under the name Mus spretus (western wild mouse). RNAcentral's name for it is "lncRNA (ENSMSPG00010034308.1)". The record is from RNAcentral. Lineage: Eukaryota; Metazoa; Chordata; Mammalia; Rodentia; Muridae.
AACAAUCGUUAGGAAGAGCGUCGCCCUCCACGCCUUCUGAGCAGCUCCAGUUUCGUAGCGCCCUCGUGUGUCUGGAGGAAGAAACGUCCUGGAUUUGAGUUUGACAGUGGUACUAGGGCACAGGGAGAAGGAAGUCGGGUCAGGCAUUGGAACUUUUUACAGGGGCCAGGAAUGAAUGUGAGAACUCAAGAUGCUUUCUUGAUGCCUUCUCAGAGGUGACUCAGUGGCGGCGCGUGAAAGGAUCCAGAAGAAACCACAAGCAGUCGAAAUCCAAGGCACCUGUCUUCUCCAAAAGUUGUUGAAGUCACUUCCAUGUCUGCAUGCCCACCAGUUAUGGUUGUGUAUAACCAUGUGAAUUAACUAUUGGAGAAUUAUCAUCUAUUUUGACUUUGGAAACUAUUGAUACGGUCUAAGGGUUUUGGAAUGAUAUAGUCUAGGAGUCUUGGUCAGGUUUGUUGUUUCUGCCAGCCGAAGAAUUAAAAGGCAGGAAAAAUCUGAAGACCAGCAUGGAGCAGCAGAGAAAUCUUAAGCAUCGUGGAUAGAAUUAGGAGUAGAAGGAAGGUGUGGGGUGACAAGCAGCUGGGGACAUCCUUCAUCCCUCAG